Brassica rapa (field mustard) is the source of this 2600-nucleotide RNA transcript. It is a transcript of the gene named probable protein phosphatase 2C 8, with no coding region annotated. The record is from RefSeq and is a predicted model, not a curated record. Lineage: Eukaryota; Viridiplantae; Streptophyta; Magnoliopsida; Brassicales; Brassicaceae.
UUUUUUGGUCUCACCUUAUUUUUCUCUAACUAUACAAUAUUUUUAAUGAAAUCAUUUAUUACUUCUCAUUGUUUAAGAAACUGAAUAUAAAAUGAUAUUUAUGAAUAUAAAAAUAGACUCUAUGAAUUUGGUAAUAUUUUAUCAAAUUAACUUUCCGUUUAUUUUUUUUUAUCAUAUUAUUUGAAUAUGAAAAUUUCACAAACCAAUAUUGCAUUCUAAUAUAGUACUACAUAAUAAUAGAAAUGUUAUUAUUGAAUUCUAUGUUGUUGUAUAAAACAUAGGUUUCUAAGACAACCUUUAUCAUAACAUAUAUAUAUAUGUAUAAGUUUGUAGACAAGUGUUUGAGCACGAUUUAUAACAUCUAAAAUAUUCUUUUUAUACAAACUUACAUGAAUAUAUAGUCAUUCUUUUUUACAUAUAGAUUCAGUAAUAUUCUAAAAGAAUGCAUUAUUGAUAAGUGCUAACCUAUUUUACCAGCUACAAAUUCAUAUCAUGUAAACCCAAUUAUUAUUAAUGAAAAUUGAUGAUGAAAUUUAAAUAAUGUAUAUACAAUGUAUAUAUAAUAUUAACUGACUUUUAUACAAUUUAUAUAUAAUCUUACUAAAAUUGAAAAACAUCCUAUAUUUAUAUCAAACCAAAUAUUUCAUAUAAAACAACUAAUUAUAUAUAAAUUUUAAACAUUUAAGUAAAUAAAAAAUCAUAAAUUUAAAAAUAUAUUAGAAACAGAGUCAAUAUGAGUCUGUGAAUGUCUUGCUGUCAAAAAAAAAUAUAUAUAUAUAUUAGAAGUUUCAUUCAUCUCUUAAAAUAUUAUUGAAGAUUAUUUAUUUUUCUACCAGGUCAACGAAAUGUCGGGUCACACUUGAUUGCAGAUUUUUCGAAGUUUACAUGCUUUAAAUUAACGAGUUUUCAUUAAUCUAAACCAGUUUAUGUACAAGUCAUCAUGUUUAUCGGUUCGACCACGGAUCCAAACUCGAUAUAAAAAUAUUGUUCUCAUCUAAUUUAAAAUAAUUUAUUUUAAAAUAAUAGACAUUGAGUCUGAUCAAACCUUAUAAUGUUAAAAAAAAAUCAAAUGAUUAAAAAUAUAAUUACAUUAACUAACUAAAUAAAAAUAAUAAUUUUAUUUUUUGAUAUAAUACAAUUUUGUCACAUAAUAAUGGAUAACAAAACUAAAAUACUAAUUCAUAUCAUAUAUUUUUAUCAGAAAAAUAACCCGAACUUUUAAGCGCGGAUCAAAAUCUAGUAUCUCCUUAUAAACUUCCCCCAAAAGAUGAUUAGACACAAUGGAGAAUCUCUAAUUUUACGGAGGAGAUUCUAGGUUUUUGUCGGAACGAAUUUCACUCCUUGUCGCUAUGGGGAUAUAAAGAGAAAAAAAGCUCUCAGGCAAACCUUACCCAAUUUUUAGAUCCGAAUCGAUUUUAAAUUCGUGUGUACAAAAAUGUAGGGGCUAAAAUGAAAUAAAUAAAUAUUAUGGGUGCUAAAGGUAUAAAUGCUUGCAACGUUGAGGUUAGUAACUUCUGUCUUAACAAACUUCGCACGGCGGCUAAGAUUAUUUGUCGGGAAACAAAAUAAAGCGAAAGAAGCUGGUUUGGCUGCAAUGGAGAAACAACCGAACCAGAAACACACGGCUGACUCGUUCUCCAGCGAGGAUUUGAUCUCUCCGCCGGUGAAGAAGGCGAAGAAGUCAGAGGAGACCGGAUGUGAUAAUACUAAAGAUCCGAAAAUCCCCAGUGGCGGAGAAGAAGUCAUACCCGCCGUUGAUAAUAGAGCGGCGGAAGAAGGUAGCUCGAGCUGUAUAAGUGAGGAGAAGAAAGGAUUUGUCUUUGAAGCUGAUGUUGCUGAAGACAAAGGAGCUAGACAGGCAAUGGAAGAUGUUUCGUUGGUUUUGCCCGACGCUUCUUUGGAUUUCCCAGGGAAACUAAGGUGUGGUCAUUUUGCGAUAUAUGAUGGGCAUGGUGGACGUUUAGCUGCAGAGUUUGCUAAGAAGCAUCUUCACCUUAAUGUUCUUUCAUCUGGUUUACCACGUGAGUUGAUGGACGUCAAAGUUGCGAAGAAAGCCAUACUUGAUGGUUUCCGGAAAACCGAUGAGCUGCUCCUACAAGAAAGUGUUUCAGGAGGAUGGCAAGAUGGCGCAACAGCAGUGUGUGUCUGGAUAGUUGAUCAAAAGGUUUUUAUUGCCAAUAUUGGUGAUGCUAAGGCUGUUUUGGCACGAUCCUCUCCUACCGACGAAUCAGGGAGUCAUACAGAAGCAUGUAACCCACUCAAAGCAAUUGUUUUAACCAGAGAGCAUAAAGCAAUUUAUCCACAGGAGCGUUCUCGCAUUCAAAAGUCAGGUGGUGUUGUGAGCUCAAAUGGACGUUUACAAGGGCGUCUUGAGGUUUCUAGGGCGUUUGGCGAUCGUCAAUUCAAGAAGACAUUUAUGGUGGUUGUUCGCAUCUAACAAAAGGUAUUGAUUUCAGUAUGGUGUCAUUGCAACUCCGGACAUUCAUGCGUUUGAAUUAACUGAGAGAGAAAACUUCAUGAUUCUUGGUUGCGAUGGAUUGUGGGAAGUGUUUGGACCAAGUGAUGCUGUUGGAUUUGUUCAGAAACUCUUGAAGGUAACC